RNAcentral lists this unclassified non-coding RNA (206 nucleotides) under uncultured Glomus. RNAcentral's name for it is "sequence contains ITS2". The record is from RNAcentral. Lineage: Eukaryota; Fungi; Glomeromycota; Glomeromycetes; Glomerales; Glomeraceae.
UAAAAAAAAUCGACAUAGUUGCUGUUUCGCGGUGACAUUCGUCGGAAAUUGGGUCAUCUUAAACCUUUUGGUUUUAAGCGGCUUAAAAUUUUCUUUACGAUUCCACGAACGUUUCUAAGAUUUAUUUUCUUACACACGUUUAAGGGUAAUCGAUUUUUAUUAGACGUGGCCGUCACAUCGGAUCGCGUCCAUAAAUAUUUCGUUAA